This 472-nucleotide ribosomal RNA is filed under the name uncultured bacterium. RNAcentral describes it as "SSU rRNA". It matches the Rfam family "Bacterial small subunit ribosomal RNA", at positions 26 to 518 of the family's 1533-position model. The record is from RNAcentral.
AGGAUAAACGCUGGCGGCGUGCCUAACACAUGCAAGUCGAACGUCUCUUCUUUCGGGAAGAGGAGUGGCGGACGGGUGAGGAACACGUGGGAACCUGCCCUACAGUGAGGAAUACCGGCGAGAAAUCGCCGACAAGACCGCAUAGCCCUCUCUGGUGAGAGCCAGAGAAGGAAAGCUUCGCAAGAGGCGCUGGAGGAGGGGCCUGCGUCCGAUUAGCUAGUUGGUGGGGUAAGAGCCUACCAAGGCGUCGAUCGGUAGCUGGUCUGAGAGGACGAUCAGCCACACUGGGAUUGAGAACGGCCCAGACUCCUACGGGGGGCAGCAGUGAGGAAUUUUCGGCAAUGGGGGAAACCCUGACCGAGCAACGCCGCGUGCAGGAAGACGGCCUUCGGGUUGUAAACUGUCUUUUCUUUGGGACGAGCAAGGACGGUACCAGAGGAAUCAGCCCGGCUCACUACGUGCCAGCAGCCGC